GCCCUUGGCGGAUCCGCGGCCGCGCAGAGUUUGAUCCUGGCUCAGUGCGAACGCUGGCGGCGUGCCUAACACAUGCAAGUCGUGCGGAGGGGCGAUGAGCCCCUCAGCGGCAAACGGGUGAGUAACACGUGAGUAACCUGCCCCUGGGAAGGGGAUAACCCUCCGAAAGGGGGGCUAAUACCCUAUAUAGCCGGGGACCACUAAGGUCACCCGGUGAAAGGUGGCCUCUGCCCUUUAUGGGCAUGCUACCGCCCAGGGAGGGGCUCGCGGCCCAUCAGGUAGUUGGUGGGGUAACGGCCUACCAAGCCUAUGACGGGUAGCCGGCCUGAGAGGGUGGCCGGCCACAGUGGGACUGAGACACGGCCCACACCCCUACGGGGGGCAGCAGUGGGGAAUCGUGGGCAAUGGGCGCAAGCCUGACCCCGCGACGCCGCGUGGGGGAUGAAGCCCUUCGGGGUGUAAACCCCUGUCGGGGGGGACGAUGUGUCCUGGGGUGAAUAAUCCCAGGGCAUGACGGUACCCCCAGAGGAAGGGACGGCUAACUACGUGCCAGCAGCCGCGGUAAUACGUAGGUCCCGAGCGUUGCGCGGAUUCACUGGGCGUAAAGCGUCCGCAGCCGGACGGGUAAGCGGUGCGUCAAAGCCCACCGCUCAACGGUGGAAGGGCGUACCGAACUGCCUGUCUUGAGGCACGCCCAGGCAGGCGGAAUUCCCGGUGUAGCGGCGAAAUGCGUAGAUAUCGGGAGGAACACCGAAAGCGAAAGCAGCCUGCUGGGGCUGUCCUGACGGUCAGGGACGAAAGCUGGGGGAGCGAACCGGAUUAGAUACCCGGGUAGUCCCAGCCGUAAACCAUGNCGCUAGGCGUCGUCCUCGUGGCGGUGCCGCAGCUAACGCGGUAGCGCCCNCCUGGGGAGUA
This 915-nucleotide ribosomal RNA is filed under the name uncultured bacterium. Its description in RNAcentral is "bacterial SSU rRNA". It matches the Rfam family "Bacterial small subunit ribosomal RNA", at positions 1 to 882 of the family's 1533-position model. The record is from RNAcentral.